UACGUAGGGUGCGAGCGUUGUCCGGAAUUAUUGGGCGUAAAGAGCUUGUAGGUGGUUUGUCGCGUCUGCUGUGAAAAAUCCCGAGGCUCAACCUCGGACUUGCAGUGGGUACGGGCAGACUAGAGUGUGGUAGGGGAGACUGGAAUUCCUGGUGUAGCGGUGGAAUGCGCAGAUAUCAGGAGGAACACCGGUGGCGAAGGCAGGUCUCUGGGCCAUUACUGACACUGGAGAAGCGAAAGCCAUGGGGGAGCAAACGGG
This 258-nucleotide ribosomal RNA is filed under the name uncultured bacterium. RNAcentral describes it as "partial 16S ribosomal RNA". It matches the Rfam family "Bacterial small subunit ribosomal RNA", at positions 524 to 776 of the family's 1533-position model. The record is from RNAcentral.